AUUUUUUAACUUCUAUGAUGGCAGUUCUCAGCGGUUAUUGGAUGGUUUCUUGGCCAUCCCCACUCUCCCGUGAUUCCAGGGUAUCAUCACAUCAGUUACUCCUCACCCAUAAAACCCCCUCUAUGUUCGAUCGCCAUUCCAAGUUCAGAUAAAUCCUCGAUUCCAUCAGCCACUGAUUGUGUCCUCUGUUUCCGUUUGAGUCUAGCUCCACCGUUGUAGCACCACCGUCUGCCACCGUCUGCCUAGCAAUGGCCGGAGCCGAAGGAGAGAUUCCGCUGUACGUUAACAAGACUGGCGCGUACGAACGGUUUUACAAAACGGUGGAAGUCAUUUUCUUCUCCAAUGGCUAAUCAGGUCGCUGCUUCCUCAUAUAUCCGAUCGAAGAAGAAAGAUGUCUCCAUCGAUUCUGGGAAAUUGUUCUUGGCUGGGAAAUUUAUGAAUUGUGAAGUUUAGGUUCUUGAACGAUUCAUGCAGGCGAGCCCAUGCCAUCUUUUGGAACAUGCUUGUGUAAUUAUUCAUACACAAUAACAAAAUUAGUUCUUACCCAACUUGUAGUUUGUUGUUUUUGUUACAAUUUUAUAAAAGUGUCCAAAGAAGAACAUGUACAUAAGAGUUUUGAUAGUUUUUUGUUUAUUAUCUUGUACCGUAAUUUAUGGUGAUUUUUUAGCUAUUCAGCUGCAGUAGGUUUGAGUAUUAUGCAAUAAUGUAUGUUUAGCUCUUUAAGUGGUUUUAGAGAAUUAUAGCAAAUGCUAUGUCAGUUGAAGUUCUUUACUUUCAGCUAGAGCAUCCAUUAUACAACAAUUAUAUCUAACUUCAUUAACGGUGUAUUUGAUAAACUGAUGGAAGAACCAAAGAGAUAGGAAAUCAUGCUAAUCAAGUUGACGAGAUGCAGACUAAGAAUAUUGAUGAAUUUAAGACGGCAUUUGAGUUGCCGCCUCUCCAUUGGUCUUGGAUGGGGUUGAUUUCAAGCUGAUAUCAGUCAAAAUGGCAAUGAACUAAAGGUGCAGCUUCUAUUUACAUCCAUGUGAAGGUUCGGCUGCACAGAUCUUGACACAAGGGAAGCUGAGUGCACCUCGUAUUUUAAGAAUACACAAGGUAUUGUAUUGUAAGAAUCACCUCAAUUUGUGUCAUUACGAUCCUGUAUAAUACUUAAUUCCCUUAAAGCCCAUCAAACAUCUUUAUAAUUAUCAUCAAUGUAGACUAUUAAGAGAUCUUAAGUUGUUUAGACUACAAAGAAAUAGUGAUGCAUUAGUCUUGACAACAAACAUACUCCUAUUGCAAUAAUACUCAGAAUCUUUGAAUAAAAGUGGUUUAGGAGGGUGUAUGCAUUUAAUAUACACUUUGGGUGAUCUUCAACCCCUUUUCGUUGGCCGUUAAAAAAAAGAACAACGCAGUCAAAUCCGUGAGCAUCUAAUUAUUGUAGCUUGCAGCGUAUGUUAAUUUUUCUAUCACGUUUAAUAUUGUAGCUUGCAACGUAUGUUAAUUUUUCCAUCACGUUCAAUAUUGUAGCUUGUAGCGUAUGUUAAUUUUUCCAUCACGUUUAAAAGUUUUUAAUUUAUUGUUGGGUGAAUUAGUGACAAUAGUUGUUUCAAUAUUUUAUCUUUUAUUUAAUUAAGUGAAAAUCAUAAAACGGCUAUAUACCAAGUUAUAUGGAGAAAAUGCUCCAAGGGUUAGAAUGGACGUGUGCCCUCUAGCUUACGCAAAGUGCACAAAAGGUAAG
RNAcentral lists this long non-coding RNA (1720 nucleotides) under Helianthus annuus (common sunflower). The record is from RNAcentral. Lineage: Eukaryota; Viridiplantae; Streptophyta; Magnoliopsida; Asterales; Asteraceae.